GGUGCGCACGGGCCCUGUGAGCGAUCGCGGUGGGCUUGGGCUGGUGACGCGUGCGCCGGCCGGCCGCCGAGGGGCUACCGUUCUGCCUCCGACCGGUCGUGUGUGGGUUUACUCGGAGACAGGGUCUCACUCUGUCACCCAGGGUGGAGUGCAGUGGUGCAAUUAUGGCUCACUGUAGUCUUGAUCUCCUGGGCUCAAGCAGUCCUCCCAACUCAGCUCCCAAGUAGCUAGAACUACAGAAAUACUAGGCUUUAGAAUUUCACCAUAUGAAUUUUGGGAGAGAGGAGCACAGUUCAGCCCAUAACUAACACACGACGGAAUGAAGUUGAUAAUAGUGAGACCUUGUUGGUACAAGACUAUGUAACAUAACCUGCGCUUCUCAACAAAGAAUUGCUUUUCUGACUUCUGCACUCAAUAGCAAGACAAAUCUCUCCUCUGCCUUCUCCUUAUCAGACUACUCAACAUGAAGGCAAUAAGAAUGAAGACCUCUAUGUAUAAUAAUUGACUUCCACUUAAUAAAUAAGGUUACUUGGUACACUGGUCGACAAAACCUUGAAAUGUUGAUGUUUAAGGGCUGUUGAUUGCUGGCAGCAAAGAAGUCCAACUGUGCUGGUACCCGAGAUAGCGUCUCCACAUUUUCUUCCAGGAUCAUCACCUUUGUUCUAAAUAGCUCCCACAUAGUGUGAACAGAAGUCAUAUGUUUUAGAUUUUCUGCCUUGGCACCCAGGAAACCAGUAUGAUUGAGUAAACAUAUUAAACUUCCUCUGCAUUUCCAGCCUGAACAGAUGUUGAGUACAAGCUGAUCCACCUACGUUCAACCUGAGAGAGUCCACAUCCACAGACUGUUUCAUUUCCCUUUUUCAAUUUACAUAGAAGCAUAGAUUCUUGCUGGCAUAUACAAAUGCGCCAUUUAAGGCAAUCAAAAAUGGUUCCACAUCUCAUCUGAUUUCCACAAUUGUUGCUGUAACGAUGGACUACUGAGGAGAGAGACAAUUUCUCUGGCACAUCUUCCCACAUUUUAGCAACAUGUUCAUGGAGAGCCAAUAUUCAGUAAUUACAGCCCAAUUCCUCACAAUUUCACAAUUCGCUAACAAUAUGCAUUUUCACAAUGUAAAGCUGAUUUUCCUUUAACCAAAUCAAACAUGAAAAGAUAGCUGCAUGCAAUGGGCAAUCUAGAUCAUUAGAAGAUUGAUGUAAAAUUAGAGGACACUGAGACUGGAAUAGAUUGCAAACUUCAGGGAGCUCAGAAAACUUGUAAACUCUACAUUUUGAGGAAAUAUGUUGUCGAUGCUUUUGCAACUCUAUGCAGUAACUUAACAAAUAAAGCCUUAAAGUAACUUA
Molecule: long non-coding RNA, 1341 nt
Organism: Homo sapiens (human)
Lineage: Eukaryota; Metazoa; Chordata; Mammalia; Primates; Hominidae
Gene: MIR663AHG
Product: MIR663A host gene
Source: Ensembl